This is a non-coding RNA of Clostridium botulinum C str. Eklund, 353 nucleotides long. The record is from Rfam. NCBI's taxonomy places the organism in Bacteria, Bacillati, Bacillota, Clostridia, Eubacteriales, Clostridiaceae.
CGAGUAAGCCAGAUGAUCGCUGCUACACUAUUAUGUGUAGGAGAGGAAAGUCCGAGCUCCAUAGGGCAGGGUGCUGGGUAACUCCCAGUGGAGGCGACUCUAAGGAAAGUGCAACAGAGAUAUACCGCCAUAAACUUUGUUUAUGGUAAGGGUGGAAAGGUGAGGUAAGAGCUUACCAGCGCAAUGGCGACUUUGCGGCUAUGUAAACCCCAUCUGGAGCAAGAUUGAAUAGAGGGACAUUAAGGAGCGGCCCGUUCCGUCCCCGGGUAAAAUCGCUUGAGUCUAAUGGUAACAUUAGGCCUAGAUAGAUGAUCAUCAAAUACAGAACUCGGCUUAUAGACUUAUCUCGUAUA